AUUGAACGCUGGCGGCAUGCUUUACACAUGCAAGUCGAACGGUAACAGGGUGCUUGCACCGCUGACGAGUGGCGAACGGGUGAGUAAUGCGUCGGAACGUGCCGAGUAGUGGGGGAUAACGCAGCGAAAGUUGUGCUAAUACCGCAUACGUACUGAGGUAGAAAGUGGGGGACCUUCGGGCCUCACGCUAUUCGAGCGGCCGACGUCUGAUUAGCUAGUAGGUGAGGUAAAGGCUCACCUAGGCGACGAUCAGUAGCGGGUCUGAGAGGAUGACCCGCCACACUGGGACUGAGACACGGCCCAGACUCCUACGGGAGGCAGCCGUGGGGAAUUUUGGACAAUGGGCGAAAGCCUGAUCCAGCCAUGCCGCGUGUCUGAAGAAGGCCUUCGGGUUGUAAAGGACUUUUGUCAGGGAGGAAAUCCCUAGUGCUAAUAACACUGGGGGAUGACAGUACCUGAGGAACAAGCACCGGCUAACUACGUGCCAGCCGCCGCCGUAA
This 500-nucleotide ribosomal RNA is filed under the name uncultured bacterium. Its description in RNAcentral is "partial 16S ribosomal RNA". It matches the Rfam family "Bacterial small subunit ribosomal RNA", at positions 30 to 523 of the family's 1533-position model. The record is from RNAcentral.